Molecule: ribosomal RNA, 1229 nt
Filed under: Bacillus subtilis
Lineage: Bacteria; Bacillati; Bacillota; Bacilli; Caryophanales; Bacillaceae
Description: bacterial SSU rRNA
Rfam family: Bacterial small subunit ribosomal RNA
Source: RNAcentral
GAAUGGCGGUGCCUAUUCAUGCAAGUCGAGCGGACAGAUGGGAAGCUUGCUCCCUGAUGUUAGCGGCGGACGGGUGAGUAACACGUGGGUAACCUGCCUGUAAGACUGGGAUAACUCCGGGAAACCGGGGCUAAUACCGGAUGGUUGUCUGAACCGCAUGGUUCAGACAUAAAAGGUGGCUUCGGCUACCACUUACAGAUGGACCCGCGGCGCAUUAGCUAGUUGGUGAGGUAACGGCUCACCAAGGCGACGAUGCGUAGCCGACCUGAGAGGGUGAUCGGCCACACUGGGACUGAGACACGGCCCAGACUCCUACGGGAGGCAGCAGUAGGGAAUCUUCCGCAAUGGACGAAAGUCUGACGGAGCAACGCCGCGUGAGUGAUGAAGGUUUUCGGAUCGUAAAGCUCUGUUGUUAGGGAAGAACAAGUGCCGUUCAAAUAGGGCGGCACCUUGACGGUACCUAACCAGAAAGCCACGGCUAACUACGUGCCAGCAGCCGCGGUAAUACGUAGGUGGCAAGCGUUGUCCGGAAUUAUUGGGCGUAAAGGGCUCGCAGGCGGUUUCUUAAGUCUGAUGUGAAAGCCCCCGGCUCAACCGGGGAGGGUCAUUGGAAACUGGGGAACUUGAGUGCAGAAGAGGAGAGUGGAAUUCCACGUGUAGCGGUGAAAUGCGUAGAGAUGUGGAGGAACACCAGUGGCGAAGGCGACUCUCUGGUCUGUAACUGACGCUGAGGAGCGAAAGCGUGGGGAGCGAACAGGAUUAGAUACCCUGGUAGUCCACGCCGUAAACGAUGAGUGCUAAGUGUUAGGGGGUUUCCGCCCCUUAGUGCUGCAGCUAACGCAUUAAGCACUCCGCCUGGGGAGUACGGUCGCAAGACUGAAACUCAAAGGAAUUGACGGGGGCCCGCACAAGCGGUGGAGCAUGUGGUUUAAUUCGAAGCAACGCGAAGAACCUUACCAGGUCUUGACAUCCUCUGACAAUCCUAGAGAUAGGACGUCCCCUUCGGGGGCAGAGUGACAGGUGGUGCAUGGUUGUCGUCAGCUCGUGUCGUGAGAUGUUGGGUUAAGUCCCGCAACGAGCGCAACCCUUGAUCUUAGUUGCCAGCAUUCAGUUGGGCACUCUAAGGUGACUGCCGGUGACAAACCGGAGGAAGGUGGGGAUGACGUCAAAUCAUCAUGCCCCUUAUGACCUGGGCUACACACGUGCUACAAUGGACAGAACAAAGGGCA